AUUGAACGCUGGCGGCAUGCUUUACACAUGCAAGUCGAACGGUAACAGGCCUUCGGGUGCUGACGAGUGGCGAACGGGUGAGUAAUGUAUCGGAACGUGCCCAGUGGUGGGGGAUAACGCAGCGAAAGCUGUGCUAAUACCGCAUGUGAUCUGAGGAUGAAAGCGGGGGACCAGGCAGCAAUGUUUGGCCUCGUGCCUUUGUAGCGGCCGAUGUCAGAUUAGGUAGUUGGUGGGGUAAAGGCCUACCUAGCCGACGAUCUGUAGCUGGUCUGAGAGGACGGCCAGCCAGACUGGGAGUGAGACACGGCCCAGACUCCUACGGGAGGCAGCAGUGGGGAAUUUUGGACAAUGGGCGCAAGCCUGAUCCAGCAAUGCCGCGGGCGGGAAGAAGGCCUUCGGGUUGUAAACCGCUUUUGUACGGAACGAAGAGGCUCUGGCUAAUACCUGGGGCUGAUGACGGUACCGUAAGAAUAAGCACCGGCUAACUACGUG
RNAcentral lists this ribosomal RNA (492 nucleotides) under uncultured bacterium. RNAcentral's name for it is "partial 16S ribosomal RNA". It matches the Rfam family "Bacterial small subunit ribosomal RNA", at positions 30 to 507 of the family's 1533-position model. The record is from RNAcentral.